GAAAUAAGAGUUUCUUUCACAUCACCUGACCAACUGAGGAGGCUCACAGAUGGCUCCAACAAGUGCAAGAGUUGGCAGAGGGAAGGAGAUGCAUCACACAGGAGAAGGAAAGAAUAAAGGUUUUGAUUCCAACCAAAUAGAUUUCCAGACUCAGCUGACUGCAGGAGCAUUACUGCCAGCACAAAGCAGAAAGGGACUGCAAUGAAGCAAAUUAACCUCCACGAAAGUGUCUGGUGAAACUUUA
Pezoporus flaviventris is the source of this 244-nucleotide long non-coding RNA. RefSeq lists it as uncharacterized. The record is from RefSeq and is a predicted model, not a curated record. The transcript has 2 exons. NCBI's taxonomy places the organism in Eukaryota, Metazoa, Chordata, Aves, Psittaciformes, Psittacidae.